RNAcentral lists this ribosomal RNA (2528 nucleotides) under Escherichia coli. RNAcentral's name for it is "bacterial LSU rRNA". It matches the Rfam family "Bacterial large subunit ribosomal RNA", at positions 308 to 2826 of the family's 2925-position model. The record is from RNAcentral. Lineage: Bacteria; Pseudomonadati; Pseudomonadota; Gammaproteobacteria; Enterobacterales; Enterobacteriaceae.
GCCUGAAUCAGUGUGUGUGUUAGUGGAAGCGUCUGGAAAGGCGCGCGAUACAGGGUGACAGCCCCGUACACAAAAAUGCACAUGCUGUGAGCUCGAUGAGUAGGGCGGGACACGUGGUAUCCUGUCUGAAUAUGGGGGGACCAUCCUCCAAGGCUAAAUACUCCUGACUGACCGAUAGUGAACCAGUACCGUGAGGGAAAGGCGAAAAGAACCCCGGCGAGGGGAGUGAAAAAGAACCUGAAACCGUGUACGUACAAGCAGUGGGAGCACGCUUAGGCGUGUGACUGCGUACCUUUUGUAUAAUGGGUCAGCGACUUAUAUUCUGUAGCAAGGUUAACCGAAUAGGGGAGCCGAAGGGAAACCGAGUCUUAACUGGGCGUUAAGUUGCAGGGUAUAGACCCGAAACCCGGUGAUCUAGCCAUGGGCAGGUUGAAGGUUGGGUAACACUAACUGGAGGACCGAACCGACUAAUGUUGAAAAAUUAGCGGAUGACUUGUGGCUGGGGGUGAAAGGCCAAUCAAACCGGGAGAUAGCUGGUUCUCCCCGAAAGCUAUUUAGGUAGCGCCUCGUGAAUUCAUCUCCGGGGGUAGAGCACUGUUUCGGCAAGGGGGUCAUCCCGACUUACCAACCCGAUGCAAACUGCGAAUACCGGAGAAUGUUAUCACGGGAGACACACGGCGGGUGCUAACGUCCGUCGUGAAGAGGGAAACAACCCAGACCGCCAGCUAAGGUCCCAAAGUCAUGGUUAAGUGGGAAACGAUGUGGGAAGGCCCAGACAGCCAGGAUGUUGGCUUAGAAGCAGCCAUCAUUUAAAGAAAGCGUAAUAGCUCACUGGUCGAGUCGGCCUGCGCGGAAGAUGUAACGGGGCUAAACCAUGCACCGAAGCUGCGGCAGCGACGCUUAUGCGUUGUUGGGUAGGGGAGCGUUCUGUAAGCCUGUGAAGGUGUGCUGUGAGGCAUGCUGGAGGUAUCAGAAGUGCGAAUGCUGACAUAAGUAACGAUAAAGCGGGUGAAAAGCCCGCUCGCCGGAAGACCAAGGGUUCCUGUCCAACGUUAAUCGGGGCAGGGUGAGUCGACCCCUAAGGCGAGGCCGAAAGGCGUAGUCGAUGGGAAACAGGUUAAUAUUCCUGUACUUGGUGUUACUGCGAAGGGGGGACGGAGAAGGCUAUGUUGGCCGGGCGACGGUUGUCCCGGUUUAAGCGUGUAGGCUGGUUUUCCAGGCAAAUCCGGAAAAUCAAGGCUGAGGCGUGAUGACGAGGCACUACGGUGCUGAAGCAACAAAUGCCCUGCUUCCAGGAAAAGCCUCUAAGCAUCAGGUAACAUCAAAUCGUACCCCAAACCGACACAGGUGGUCAGGUAGAGAAUACCAAGGCGCUUGAGAGAACUCGGGUGAAGGAACUAGGCAAAAUGGUGCCGUAACUUCGGGAGAAGGCACGCUGAUAUGUAGGUGAAGUCCCUCGCGGAUGGAGCUGAAAUCAGUCGAAGAUACCAGCUGGCUGCAACUGUUUAUUAAAAACACAGCACUGUGCAAACACGAAAGUGGACGUAUACGGUGUGACGCCUGCCCGGUGCCGGAAGGUUAAUUGAUGGGGUCAGCGCAAGCGAAGCUCUUGAUCGAAGCCCCGGUAAACGGCGGCCGUAACUAUAACGGUCCUAAGGUAGCGAAAUUCCUUGUCGGGUAAGUUCCGACCUGCACGAAUGGCGUAAUGAUGGCCAGGCUGUCUCCACCCGAGACUCAGUGAAAUUGAACUCGCUGUGAAGAUGCAGUGUACCCGCGGCAAGACGGAAAGACCCCGUGAACCUUUACUAUAGCUUGACACUGAACAUUGAGCCUUGAUGUGUAGGAUAGGUGGGAGGCUUAGAAGUGUGGACGCCAGUCUGCAUGGAGCCGACCUUGAAAUACCACCCUUUAAUGUUUGAUGUUCUAACGUUGACCCGUAAUCCGGGUUGCGGACAGUGUCUGGUGGGUAGUUUGACUGGGGCGGUCUCCUCCUAAAGAGUAACGGAGGAGCACGAAGGUUGGCUAAUCCUGGUCGGACAUCAGGAGGUUAGUGCAAUGGCAUAAGCCAGCUUGACUGCGAGCGUGACGGCGCGAGCAGGUGCGAAAGCAGGUCAUAGUGAUCCGGUGGUUCUGAAUGGAAGGGCCAUCGCUCAACGGAUAAAAGGUACUCCGGGGAUAACAGGCUGAUACCGCCCAAGAGUUCAUAUCGACGGCGGUGUUUGGCACCUCGAUGUCGGCUCAUCACAUCCUGGGGCUGAAGUAGGUCCCAAGGGUAUGGCUGUUCGCCAUUUAAAGUGGUACGCGAGCUGGGUUUAGAACGUCGUGAGACAGUUCGGUCCCUAUCUGCCGUGGGCGCUGGAGAACUGAGGGGGGCUGCUCCUAGUACGAGAGGACCGGAGUGGACGCAUCACUGGUGUUCGGGUUGUCAUGCCAAUGGCACUGCCCGGUAGCUAAAUGCGGAAGAGAUAAGUGCUGAAAGCAUCUAAGCACGAAACUUGCCCCGAGAUGAGUUCUCCCUGACUCCUUGA